This 376-nucleotide ribosomal RNA is filed under the name uncultured organism. RNAcentral's name for it is "partial 16S ribosomal RNA". It matches the Rfam family "Bacterial small subunit ribosomal RNA", at positions 527 to 896 of the family's 1533-position model. The record is from RNAcentral.
GUAGGUGGCAAGCGUUGUCCGGAAUUAUUGGGCGUAAAGCGCGCGCAGGCGGUUCUUUAAGUCUGAUGUGAAAGCCCACGGCUCAACCGUGGAGGGUCAUUGGAAACUGGAAAACUUGAGUACAGAAGAGGAAAGCGGAAUUCCACGUGUAGCGGUGAAAUGCGUAGAGAUGUGGAGGAACACCAGUGGCGAAGGCGGCUUUCUGGUCUGUAACUGACGCUGAGGCGCGAAAGCGUGGGGAGCAAACAGGGAUUAGAUACCCUGGUAGUCCACGCCGUAACGAUGAGUGCUAAGUGUUAGGGGGUUUCCCGCCCCCUUAGUGCUGCAGCUAACGCAUUAAGCACUCCGCCUGGGGGUAGUACGGCCCGCAAGGCUG